AGCUCCAAUAGCGUAUAUUAAAGUUGUUGCAGUUAAAAAGCUCGUAGUUGGAUUUGUGGUGUAUGCAGGCGGCCCGUCACUUAGUGGCGGAGCUUGCUUGCGUCGCCAUCCUUGGGUGGAUCCUGUGUGGCAUUAAGUUGUCGUGCAGGGGAUGCCCAUCGUUUACUGUGAAAAAAUUAGAGUGUUCAAAGCAGGCUUAUGCCGUUGAAUAUAUUAGCAUGGAAUAAUAAGAUAGGACCUUGGUACUAUUUUGUUGGUUUGCGCACCAAGGUAAUGAUUAAUAGGGACAGUUGGGGGUAUUCGUAUUCCAUUGUCAGAGGUGAAAUUCUUGGAUUUUUGGAAGACGAACUACUGCGAAAGCAUUUACCAAGGAUGUUUUCAUUA
Molecule: ribosomal RNA, 384 nt
Filed under: Cylindrotheca sp.
Lineage: Eukaryota; Bacillariophyta; Bacillariophyceae; Bacillariales; Bacillariaceae
Description: partial small subunit ribosomal RNA
Rfam family: Eukaryotic small subunit ribosomal RNA
Source: RNAcentral